CUUUUUGAGCCAGGUUCCUCAGCAAGGUCAAAAGAAGUGGAUGAGUCCGGAGGAGGAGAAGAUUGGGGAUCAGUGGUUGUGGGAGUUGGUUUGUAGGCCAGAAGAAUUUGCAGAGGUUUGCAAGAGGUGCAGAGAGGAGGAUUGGAUCGGAGCAAGAAGAAAGCCUGGACUUAAGCCAUCUCGACCCAUUUUUUUGAACGCUCACAGUAAUUGUAGAGAUCCCUUAGAAUGGAGGGAUCCAGGGACCCAAAAGGGGGCCAUCUGCUUUGGUUGUUUAAGGGAUAAGUGGGCCAGGCCUGGGUGCUAUAUUUGAUCAAUUUUUUGGGUUUGAUGUCUGGUGUCAAGGAGAGGGUUUUGAGGUUAUCCAAGAGGCAUUGUAGGGGAGAGUCGACCAGCAGAGAGGACACAUUACCUACGUCACAAACGUAGUAUAAGGAGGAGGGAAGAGGACGCAAACGUAGUAUAGGGGAGAGGGAAGGAGGAAACUGAUUUAUUGGCAAAAGGGGCGUCCCCGCUAGAGCCAAAAAUCAAGAGUGCCUUAGUGGCAGGUUCGAGCUGCAGGGUUUGGUCGUCACCGAAUCCUGACAGUCGAGGCUCUCGUUCUGGACGGAGCCAGAGCCGUGGGAGACCUUGGCCAAGGCUUUUCGGGACCCCCCUUGAGAGGCCGGAGACUCCCAGGGCCAGAAAGAGGGGAGAGAGAGAGACAGG
This 708-nucleotide long non-coding RNA is filed under the name Marmota monax (woodchuck). The record is from RNAcentral. Lineage: Eukaryota; Metazoa; Chordata; Mammalia; Rodentia; Sciuridae.